UUUCUUAGAACAGGCGGAACCCACUCCCGCAUUUCAAAUUUGGUUCUGAUAAGGAACCUCCCUGGCAAGCCGUCAGCUCUGCAGAUGGGAGAUUUGCCAUUUUCUGUUGCCUAAAGCCAUUAUUUUUGGCCUCGAAUUUGACAGAAAGCUUGGGACUACCCCUGUGGGAUAAUCGAAGGCAUCAAAACACCAUAGAACUGAUAUUUAGUACAAAAGUGUUGUAUCGUGUUAGGAGAUAAAGAAUAGCUUCUGUACACGAAUAACAGGAGUGCAGCUGCAGGGAGGCUGAAGGGAGGCUCAGGAGGCCCAUGUCGGUGACAAGGCAGGCCUUCCACCUCCUCUGGGCAUGGUGGUGACUGCUUUUUGGUCCUAAGCAAACUUCGAGGUUUGAGCAGAGAAUGAGAGAUAAGGCAACAAGGAAAGUGACUUUGGAAAUCUUUUAUCAUCAUCAUGAGACUCAGUUUUGGAACACAAUUCACAAGGAAUGAGAUGAAAAGAUGGAGCCAUUGUAACGGCAUCCAGGGGCUGGGGUUGGACACCUGCCCAGCUUCACACUGUGGCCCAUGGAACCCUGGCAGGUCCCGUGUACCGUUGUCCACCAGCUGUGCCAGCGGGGUUAGAAAUGACCAUUUCAAACGCCACGAGAUAUCUUACAUUGUGUACUUCUCCCAGGAGGCAUAAAGUUCUGUGACCCUUUUUUCACAUCAGGGGAAGCAAAGUACAUUUCAAAAGCCUUUUAGGCAUUCAAACUUAAAAAGCAGCUCUAGAGGCAAAUUCCAGAAAUGUAUCAGGAAAAAGUUUCUUACAGUAAACUAGAGAACUCACUACAUUUUCCUUAACAUGAUGUAUAAUCUAGAAAAAUGAAGCAAAAUUUUAUGAAAACAAAAACGUUAUGCUCCAAAUAAAGCCUAGCAUGGACAACAGUACCUUAUAGACAGCAGAGCCUCCUUUUAGAACCAGGGCACUUUCUGAUGUCGGUCAUCCCCAGUCUGCAUAGCAGGUGAGAAGAAAACAUAGCUUUUUUUGCAUUUAAAACUGAAGCACAGUAAAUGAAAGUGACUUGCUGAGACCAAGUAGAGUUGCAAAGAUGCCAGCACCCGGCUUUCUUCUUUUCCUUCACUGAUUUAGCAAAUUACAUUUCUUCAAGUGUGGAGAUGCAGUAGCUGCCCGACUUUUCAGUUCAGCGACUGAAUCUGCAUCAUAGUUGGGUAGGAGGAGGUUCUGGCUUGUUCAUUUUGAUUUGCCACUCUACAAGGUAAAAUCACAGAGGACCAUCCCGGUCAACAAAGUAUAAGACCACACCUGCAGCAACUGUGCCCAUGUUUAUGCUCUGAUCCUUGUAUUGCAGUCUCAAGAUUUCCUCUUCUUCCAGAAUCCCAAAGUAGGAGUGAUUAUGAUUUAGGUCGCAGGUAGUUCCAUAAACACGGGUGUUGAGGACGCUGGCUGUUGUCAGGAAUAGGAGUCUCUGGGGUCGAAACCUGGGGGCUCUGCUGCCUGCCCUUUGCCUCGGAGGGUGUGGAAGACCCUCCGAUAGGAGCUCCUGAAGGUGGGGCUGGAGAAGCAGUACACCACGGGGUUGAGCACACUGUGCAGGUAGGUGAGGCUGUCCGUGACUUCCGAGGUAUGAGCCACUGCGCACAGGGCCCUGAAGCUCCCCAGAUUCUGGAAGAUGUGCAUCAGGACUCUGGUCAGGAAGCAGGGCAGAAAGCAUAGAGUAAACAGCACCACCACCACGGUGACCAGUGCCUGGGCCCGCCGAAGCUUGGGCUGUUUCUCAGGCUCCCGGAGUCUUUUCUGGAGAGCUCUGAUGAUGCCUGCAUUGCAGAACACGAUGAGGCCAAAGGGGAGGACAAACUGAAGGCAGGAGAGUGCUUCCUGCCAGACGACGCUGAAGGAGCCAUCUGCCGUGGGGUAGAAACUGUGGCACCUGGUGAAGUUCUGGGCGGCCUCAGAGAUGAGCAAGCCUGGGCAGGUGAGGGCAACCAUCAGGAGCCAGACGAGGCCCGAGACCCCCAGGGCUGCCCGAGGAGACAGCAGGUUGACCUUAAGCUGACGGUGGACCACACGGAGGUACCGGUCCAAGGCCACGGCGGCCAGGAAGGCCACCCGGCCUUGUGGCUGAGGUCCAGCAGGAAGCGCAGGGCCCAGCAGCCCACGUGGCCCAGAUGCCAAGCCUGGAGGCUCAGGUAGAAGAUGGCCAGGAACGGCAGACACGAGGCCAACAGCAGGUCAGCCAGGGCCAGGUUGAGCAGGUAGACGGCAUACGGCUUCCACACCCUGACCCGGAACAGGAAGGUCCACAGCGCCACUGCGUUGCCCAGCAGACCCAGCCAGCACUCCAGCCCCAGCAGGACACCCACAGCUGUGGCCACCACAGUGUUGGGGGCUGAGCAGUUUGGGAAUGGCAUCACCUGGCUGUGCUGGGCUGCAGGCACCGCUGGAGCAGAUGCAGGAGGAACUCUGUGCUCUUUCUUACAAAAUGAAAGAAAAGGCC
Long non-coding RNA from Macaca fascicularis (crab-eating macaque), 2494 nucleotides. The record is from Ensembl. NCBI's taxonomy places the organism in Eukaryota, Metazoa, Chordata, Mammalia, Primates, Cercopithecidae.